Molecule: long non-coding RNA, 654 nt
Organism: Etheostoma cragini (Arkansas darter)
Lineage: Eukaryota; Metazoa; Chordata; Actinopteri; Perciformes; Percidae
Exons: 4
Source: RefSeq, a predicted model, not a curated record
AGUAGUUUGAGCUCUGAGCUUUCCAACUCCUCCAGUUCUCCUUAUUUCAAGUAUUUGAAUCCUAAAAUGUGAAGUUCUCGUGUCUUUUUGGGACAUACUGCUCCUUUAAUGUCUUAAAUUCACUCUUUUUGUGGACAGGAUUCGUCAAAAGGAUUUGCUCAGACGAGGAGCAAAGGUGAAGAGACAGAAGACGGAGAAGAUGAAGACAAAGGAGAGGAAGACGAAGGAGAGGAAGACGAAGGAGAGGAAGAGGAGGACAAUGUUGACGAAGAAGAGGACAAUGACACGUCAGCCGAGACGGGGGGACGGUCCUCCAGUUUGGACGACUGGACAGAGAAGCAGACGGAGGAGACUGCUAAGCCCGAAGAGCUGAAAGACGCGUCCGUCCCCGAUGGAGAGCAGAAGGCAGCUGAAAUCAGCGAGAAGGCCGACUCCGCAGGGGGGGACGAGACAGAGGACGGCACCAAACCGGCCAAUGGGACGGCAGACAGCAACUCCAACAGCCAAUCAGGCGCCAACAAAAAGUUGUCUCUCUUCAGACGGCUGUCCUUCUCUAGGACCAAGCAGACCAGGGACAGGGACCAAACCCCAGCGCGGGGAGCCGUGAGCGGGGACGCAGCCGUCCUCCGAGGGGACGGAGAGCCCCUGUCCUCC